GUGCUCAACGCCUUCCGGCAUCACGGCGACCGGCAC
This 36-nucleotide non-coding RNA is filed under the name Myxococcus xanthus. Lineage: Bacteria; Pseudomonadati; Myxococcota; Myxococcia; Myxococcales; Myxococcaceae. The record is from RNAcentral. RNAcentral also lists the same sequence under 1 other name.